UACGGAGGGUGCAAGCGUUAUCCGGAUUUAUUGGGUUUAAAGGGUCCGUAGGCGGAUCUGUAAGUCAGUGGUGAAGUCUCACAGCUUAACUAUGAAACUGCCAUUGAUACUGCAGGUCUUGAGUAAAGUAGAAGUGGCUGGAAUAAGUAGUGUAGCGGUGAAAUGCAUAGAUAUUACUUAGAACACCAAUUGCGAAGGCAGGUCACUAUGUUUUAACUGACGCUGAUGGACGAAAGCGUGGGGAGCGAACAGG
This 253-nucleotide ribosomal RNA is filed under the name uncultured bacterium. Its description in RNAcentral is "partial 16S ribosomal RNA". It matches the Rfam family "Bacterial small subunit ribosomal RNA", at positions 524 to 776 of the family's 1533-position model. The record is from RNAcentral.